CGCACAAGAAUCGUCGGCACAAACACAGGAAAAACAUGACCCUCCUGUUACCGUCAAUGCCGGUUAUACUGCGAGAACACGAUUGAAUCCGAGCUUCGAGCCAGUCCUGCAUAUAACAUGAGAACACAAACGGCGGGAAUGCUGAGCGCAGAUCGAUUGCGGGCUUUUGUCUGGCCGCUUCGCUGGAAAGGAGGAGUAGAGGGACGGACGACCAAUCGAUCGUGCGGAUGACGACACGCAAGACGACAAUAAGCUCCGUUCGUCUGGCCGAAAACAAGCGACGCUCAAGGCAAACAUGAAAGGAAAGAAAUCAGAACAACCCCAGAUGUUCGAUGUCACUUGCUUGGCUGCUUGACGAAUUGCCGAUG
Molecule: long non-coding RNA, 368 nt
Organism: Ixodes scapularis (black-legged tick)
Lineage: Eukaryota; Metazoa; Arthropoda; Arachnida; Ixodida; Ixodidae
Exons: 3
Source: RefSeq, a predicted model, not a curated record